This 465-nucleotide ribosomal RNA is filed under the name Vreelandella stevensii. Its description in RNAcentral is "partial 16S ribosomal RNA". It matches the Rfam family "Bacterial small subunit ribosomal RNA", at positions 338 to 795 of the family's 1533-position model. The record is from RNAcentral. Lineage: Bacteria; Pseudomonadati; Pseudomonadota; Gammaproteobacteria; Oceanospirillales; Halomonadaceae.
CCUACGGGGGGCAGCAGUGGGGAAUAUUGGACAAUGGGGGCAACCCUGAUCCAGCCAUGCCGCGUGUGUGAAGAAGGCCCUCGGGUUGUAAAGCACUUUCAGUGAGGAAGAACGCCUGGUGGUUAAUACCCAUCAGGAAAGACAUCACUCACAGAAGAAGCACCGGCUAACUCCGUGCCAGCAGCCGCGGUAAUACGGAGGGUGCGAGCGUUAAUCGGAAUUACUGGGCGUAAAGCGCGCGUAGGUGGCUUGAUAAGCCGGUUGUGAAAGCCCCGGGCUCAACCUGGGAACGGCAUCCGGAACUGUCAAGCUAGAGUGCAGGAGAGGAAGGUAGAAUUCCCGGUGUAGCGGUGAAAUGCGUAGAGAUCGGGAGGAAUACCAGUGGCGAAGGCGGCCUUCUGGACUGACACUGACACCGAGGUGCGAAAGCGUGGGUAGCAAACAGGAUUAGAUACCCCUGUAGUC